RNAcentral lists this ribosomal RNA (330 nucleotides) under Triticum aestivum (bread wheat). RNAcentral's name for it is "partial small subunit ribosomal RNA". The record is from RNAcentral. Lineage: Eukaryota; Viridiplantae; Streptophyta; Magnoliopsida; Poales; Poaceae.
AUGCGUAUGUUGAGAUGGAUGUGUGGCCACACGAGGAAGGAUCGAGUCCGGAAUGAUGAUAUACGAGAUAGAGUUGGGGUAGCACCAAUUGAGGAGAAGCUUGUCCAACAUCGUUUGAGAUGGUUUGGGCAUAUUCAGCGCAGGCCUCCAGAAGCUCCAGUGCAUAGCGGACGGCUAAAGCGUGCGGAGAAUGUCAAGAGAGGGCGGGGUCGACCGAUUUUGACAUGGGAGGAGUCCGUUAAGAGAGACCCGAAGGAUUGGAGUAUCGACAAAGAGCUAGCUAUGGACAGGGGUGCGUGGAAGCUUGCUAUCCAUGUGCCAGAGCCAUGA